GAUCCUGGCUCAGAACGAACGCUGGCGGCGUGCCUAACACAUGCAAGUCGUACGAGAAAUCCUGGGUAACUGGGAAAGUAGAGUGGCGCACGGGUGAGUAACACGUGGGUAACCUACCCUUAGAUUUGGGAUAACUCCGCGAAAGCGGGGCUAAUACCCGAUGAUAUUCUGAUUCCCAAGGGAGUCGGAAUCAAAGAUGGCCUCUGCAUGCAAGCUAUCGUCAAAGGAUGGGCCCGCGUACCAUUAGCUAGUUGGUAGGGUAACGGCCUACCAAGGCAACGAUGGUUAGCUGGUCUGAGAGGAUGGCCAGCCACACUGGAACUGAGACACGGUCCAGACUCCUACGGGAGGCAGCAGUGGGGAAUCUUGCGCAAUGGGGGAAACCUUGACGCAGCAACGCCGCGUGGGUGAUGAAGGCCUUCGGGUCGUAAAGCCCUGUCAGGUGGGAAGAAACGUAUCGGUGCUAAUACCACCGAUAUUUGACGGUACUACCGGAGGAAGCACCGGCUAACUCCGUGCCAGCAGCCGCGGUAA
Molecule: ribosomal RNA, 534 nt
Filed under: uncultured delta proteobacterium
Lineage: Bacteria; Deltaproteobacteria
Description: bacterial SSU rRNA
Rfam family: Bacterial small subunit ribosomal RNA
Source: RNAcentral